RNAcentral lists this ribosomal RNA (494 nucleotides) under uncultured soil bacterium. Its description in RNAcentral is "bacterial SSU rRNA". It matches the Rfam family "Bacterial small subunit ribosomal RNA", at positions 26 to 521 of the family's 1533-position model. The record is from RNAcentral.
AGGACGAACGCUGGCGGCGUGCUUAACACAUGCAAGUCGAGCGGAAAGGCCUUUCGGGGUACUCGAGCGGCGAACGGGUGAGUAACACGUGAGUAAUCUGCCCAUCGCUUCAGGAUAGCCAUCGGAAACGGUGAUUAAUACUGGAUAUGACACUCCUUCGCAUGUUGGGGUGUGGAAAGUUUUUUCGGCGGUGGAUGUGCUCGCGGCCUAUCAGCUUGUUGGUGGGGUAAUGGCCUACCAAGGCUUUGACGGGUAGCCGGCCUGAGAGGGUGACCGGCCACGACUGGGACUGAGACACGGCCCAGACUCCUACGGGAGGCAGCAGUGGGGAAUAUUGGACAAGUGGGCGGAAGCCUGAUCCAGCAACGCCGCGUGAGGAUGACGGCCUUCGGGUUGUAAACCGUCUUUCAGCACAGACGAAGUUUGUCGUUUUUUGGUGUAAGUGACGUAUGUGCAGAGAAGGACCGCCAACGUACGUCGCCAAGCACGCCCGA